AGCGAACGCUGGCGGCAGGCCUAACACAUGCAAGUCGAACGGGCACCUUCGGGUGUCAGUGGCAGACGGGUGAGUAACACGUGGGAACGUGCCCUUUGGUUCGGAACAACUCCGGGAAACUGGAGCUAAUACCGGAUAAGCCCUUCGGGGAAAGAUUUAUCGCCAAAGGAUCGGCCCGCGUCUAGAUUAGCUAGUUGGUGAGGUAAUGGCUCACCAAGGCGACGAUCAGUAGCUGGUCNGAGAGGAUGAUCAGCCACACUGGGACUGAGACACGGCCCAGACUCCUACGGGAGGCAGCAGUGGGGAUAUUGGACAAUGGGCGCAAGCCUGAUCCAGCCAUGCCGCGUGAGUGAUGAAGGCCCUAGGGUUGUAAAGCUCUUUUAGCGGGGAAGAAACGGUCGUUCUAAUACAGAUGACUAAUGACGGUACCU
This 431-nucleotide ribosomal RNA is filed under the name uncultured bacterium. RNAcentral describes it as "bacterial SSU rRNA". It matches the Rfam family "Bacterial small subunit ribosomal RNA", at positions 29 to 480 of the family's 1533-position model. The record is from RNAcentral.